GGACUACCCGGGUAUCUAAUCCUGUUUGCUCCCCACGCUUUCGUGCAUGAGCGUCAGUAUGAUCCCAGGGGGCUGCCUUCGCCAUCGGUGUUCCUCCACAUCUCUACGCAUUUCACUGCUACACGUGGAAUUCCACCCCCCUCUGACCUACUCUAGCCGGACAGUCUCCAAUGCAGUUCCCAAGUUGAGCUCGGGGAUUUCACAUCAGACUUAUCCAACCGCCUGCGCACGCUUUACGCCCAGUAAUUCCGAUUAACGCUUGCACCCUACGUAUUACCGCGGCGGCUGGCAC
RNAcentral lists this ribosomal RNA (292 nucleotides) under uncultured bacterium. Its description in RNAcentral is "partial 16S ribosomal RNA". The record is from RNAcentral. RNAcentral also lists the same sequence under 1 other name.